GACGAAUGCCGGUACACCAAGAAUAAGAGACGGCUAACUACGUGCCAGCAGCCGCGGUAAUACGUAGGUCUCAAGCGUUAUCCGGAUUUACUGGGCGUAAAGUAUCCGUAGCCUGAUAUGUAAGUCUGUUUUCAAAUCCCACGACUCAAUCGUGGAAAGGGAAUGGAUACUGCAUAUCUAGAAGUUAUUGGGGGUUAGUGGAAUUUCCGGUGGAGCGGUGAAAUGCGUUGAUAUCGGAAAGAACGCCGAAAGCGAAAGCAGCUAACUAUGAUUAACUUGACGGUGAGGGAUGAAAGUUUGGGUAGCAAACGGGAUUAGAUACCCCGGUAGUCCAAACUGUAAAUUAUGCUUGCUAGGUGUUUCGAUCCUUGUGGUCGGAGUGCCGUAAUCUAACGAGUUAAGCAAGUCGCCUGGGUAGUAUAUUCGCAAGAAUGAAACUCAAAGGGAUAGGCGGGGGAACACACAAGCAGUGGAUUAUCUAGAUUAAUUGGAUAAUAAGCCAAGAAUCUUACCUAGAAUUGACAUGCAUUGUGUCUCAUAUGGAAGUAUGAUAUUUGUAGCAAUACAGAGCUUUGCACAGGUGGUGCAUGGUCGUCGUCAGCUCGUGCCGCAAGGUGUCCAGUUAA
RNAcentral lists this ribosomal RNA (626 nucleotides) under uncultured candidate division SR1 bacterium. Its description in RNAcentral is "bacterial SSU rRNA". It matches the Rfam family "Bacterial small subunit ribosomal RNA", at positions 464 to 1083 of the family's 1533-position model. The record is from RNAcentral. Lineage: Bacteria; Candidatus Absconditibacteriota.